AUAGCGUAUAUUAAAGUUGUUGUGGUUAAAAAGCUCGUAGUUGAACCUCGGGCCUGGCUGGCCGGUCCGCCUCACCGCGUGUCACUGGUCCGGCCGGGCCUUUCCUCCUGUGGAACCCCGGGCCCUUCACUGGGCACGGCGGGAAAACAGGACAUUUACUUUGAAAAAAUUAGAGUGCUCCAGGCAGGCCUACGCUCGAAUACAUUAGCAUGGAAUAAUAAAAUAGGACGCGCCGUUCUAUUUUGUUGGUUUACGGACGGCCGUAAUGAUUAAUAGGGACAGUCGGGGGCAUCAGUAUUCAGUGGUCAGAGGUGAAAUUCUUGGAUACACUGAAGACUAACUACUG
RNAcentral lists this ribosomal RNA (346 nucleotides) under uncultured eukaryote. RNAcentral's name for it is "SSU rRNA". It matches the Rfam family "Eukaryotic small subunit ribosomal RNA", at positions 594 to 945 of the family's 1831-position model. The record is from RNAcentral.